Long non-coding RNA from Corythoichthys intestinalis (scribbled pipefish), 561 nucleotides. RefSeq lists it as uncharacterized. Lineage: Eukaryota; Metazoa; Chordata; Actinopteri; Syngnathiformes; Syngnathidae. The transcript is spliced from 2 exons. The record is from RefSeq and is a predicted model, not a curated record.
UACGUCAUAAGUCCAUUCCGCCAGUUGUGACGUCAUCAAAAAGCGACAGAACUAAACAGACACGCCUACUGCUGUGGUGCCCACACUCUCCUUGGCUAUGAAGCUAUUUUUACAAAUAUCUGCGUCGAAUCGACGAAAGGCCAUCAGGCGAAGGCGUCUUCGACAUCUGGGAGCAUUGCUGUAUCUUGCUGGGCAAAUGGGUCAUCCCACAAAUUAUUGCCGGUUGGACCAUAAUAUGCCUGUUCUAAGGUUGUGAUUCAAUGUUGAGGCGGACUUGAGGUGGGACCUACACCUCAGCAGAAGAGCCAUAAACGCUGUCCAAAAGCUGCUGAACAGAGAGAGCAGGACCAUGGUUGGGACGGGCAACUGGAGGUCCUGAUCUAUAUAUACUUGUUGGCACAUGGACUCUCUUACAUCGUGGUGGCUCGUGUGUUGAUGUGCAAUGUAUAUAAUUUUUGGUGAUAGUUUUUUUUUUUUUCACGCUUUUUCUCCUAUUUUCCCAUUACAUUCUAAUGUAAUGCAUCACAUUUUUAUUUUACAAAAUAAAUCUCUUCAAACCAA